Molecule: long non-coding RNA, 668 nt
Organism: Lycium ferocissimum
Lineage: Eukaryota; Viridiplantae; Streptophyta; Magnoliopsida; Solanales; Solanaceae
Exons: 2
Source: RefSeq, a predicted model, not a curated record
CCUAUAAAAAUAGAGGGAACUGUGUAAGCAAAGAUAAUGAAGAAAUAACAAUCAACAGAGGAGAAAUUCCGGUGCACGCAAAUUCCCCAUAAAAGGAAACAUGUGGAACUUUCAACAAUCUCUUUACAUUGGCAUAACAUGAUAGAGCAGGGGCUACAAACCUUGAUUGAUAUAACAAAGUGACCUCCAGCUUUCAAGAAGUAAGAUGCAUUUAGAGCUAAAAUUCUUGCCUGUGAACAAAAGAGGUUAUUUAAACAUUCGAAUAGAAUUAUACACCACAUACUGCUGUGCUGCAGGACAAGAAUGGAGACUCAAAUAUAGGGGUGGGCGUUCGAUUGCUCGGUUCGGUUUUUUCAAAGUUUGGUUCGGUGUUUCGGUUUCGAUUUUUUUAAAGUGGAAACCGAACACCGCACCGAAUUAGUUCGGUUCGGUUCGGUUUCGGUUUUCUGAUUCGGUUUUUUAGCAUUGGUUAAGCAAUAGUCACCCGUUACUAAAUGAUUCAUGACCAACAGCCAACAGCAGCAGCAGCAGCUGCCCGCAACUGCAGCCACAAAUUCCUAACUUUUUCAUUUUGAUUCAACCAUUUGUUCAACGUACAUGUAAACAUAUAUUAUCCUGAAGGAAGGGUUAGUUAUGAUAAAAGGAAUGGCUAUUAAUCACGCCUAAAA